Molecule: ribosomal RNA, 3069 nt
Filed under: Triticum aestivum (bread wheat)
Lineage: Eukaryota; Viridiplantae; Streptophyta; Magnoliopsida; Poales; Poaceae
Description: partial small subunit ribosomal RNA
Source: RNAcentral
UACUUUUCCGAAAGGUAUAACAAUCUACUUACCUGUUUUGACUUCCACAAGCUAACACUGGACUUCUUCCGAAGGUUGAACCUCGUUUCUAACUACGACGGUAGUUCAAGUCCACCUAAUUGCGUUCUGUUUCACGGACUUCUAUUUAGGACACUUGACUGCUGUUUAUGUCAGUGUCAAAGGUUAUUUCUAUAGGGGCCCCGCCUCCAGGUCCGAAUGUUGCUACUUUAGGGGUAAUUCAAUCCAGUUGAACUACCACUAGCGUAACCGAGGGAACGGUUACAGGAACGACUUGAUGAAGUUGUACUUCUAAGAACAAGACCCCUAAGCUCUUCUGACUGUUUAUCAUCAUUCAAUAACGAUGACUUUCUUUUGUAUCGGUCCCUCGAACUCUUCUGGCUCGAACUCUAACUAAAUAACCUUACACUUGAAUUUAGUCACUCAUGACUUAGCCUUUUGUUCCGAGAACUUCUACGUGUUUUAGGAAGUGGAAGAUCACCCUGUAGUUUUUGAGAUCGGUUCGGACGCUGUAGUUUUCAAGAUCGGUUCGGACUCUGUAGUUUUCAAGAUCGGUACGGACUCUAGACACCUUGUAGUAGAAGGGGAUUUCUUGUUCCCCACGAGUGAGGAACGUUCGAAAGACACCCCGUCCUUCGACUACGAUUGCCACAUCUGAACUACCUACAACAUUGUCGAGGACAAGCGUCACAUUGUCGUCAGAGUAGCCCCCUCUCACAACGUACAGGACCUCAACAACGACUUCGAGUCCAACGACAUCGACGUCUACACCGGGGUAACUUCGGAAGACUUCCUUGACCCAGACUUUAACUACGGGUGACAGACUGCGGCCUCGGACCAAACAGGGUACUAUUACAAUCAAGGUACUUUCGACUACCGUCGUUACGGAACAGUUGGUCCGUCACGAGUGUCGUAUAGCUGUCGGUAUUGAAUUAGGGAAGUUAAUAACGACACUUGUUACUAUAUCGUUUUCUUAAAUUACUUGACCAAAAGUUUGGAAACGGAAUACCAGUUGGUACAGAACCAAAUAGGUCACUUUACUUCUUACUGGACUCACAGUCUUUCUUCGAACCGUAUGUAUUUUUAUCUGAUUCUAAGUUUCUCGUUCGUGAAUGGAAGUUCAAGUUCCACGACGCUGUGGACACCUUUCUCCUACACGCCGAGGAGAGACAUUCUUUCGUCGCGGGUUUCAGAUUAUUUGCGUGACUAGUCUCGUUGGCACGUAGUGUCUCACCUAGAGUCUCCGUUGCGAGCAGAUUAGCGAGAGCUAACCCGUACGGACGACCAUUAGACUCAUGCAAAGGAUGGUGUCUUUAUAGUCUACAACGUUUGUUCUACAAAUGUCUUAAAGUCAAAUUCGCAACGUCUUUAAUGAACUUUUACGGUCGUAAUUAAUAUCUACUUUUUCUCUUUCUUUCACGAUCGAAACAGUCGUUCUUACCAAACUAACUCCUAGGACAAAGUCAACUCUUCCUCGCCAGUCACUAUUUAGGUACCUGCGUACUUCUCUUCCUUCAAAAAUACGUCUACGAACGAAGUAAACCGUUCUUAAAGAGAUUUUAGAGGUUAAAAGAUGUCGUGUUCUGUUGUCGACUAACACAACUCAAGAUGAUGUUCGUGGUAUUUAGACUGUCAAAGGCUCUUCACUUCUUUGAAGACCUAGAAGCCGUCGUUGUUGGGUGACCGUUAAUGGAUCCUUGUUUUAGACCUUUCUUUACCUUAGGACUCUUACGACGUAGAGAACUAUACGAACCUUUACGACGUAGUCAGCACCGACGGGUACCAGAACUAAUACGUUUGUCUCAUCUCUUUCUAUGACGUUUCAGAUAGUAAGCCUGAAGAACAUCCAGACUACAAAGCCGACACCGGUUUCCUAGAAACCUAUUCCUACCGUAACGAUUACAUAGAGACGUGCUCUCCCUUAGACAUCGACGACUACAGAACCGUCCAUAUACACCUUGAGAGAGGGGACUUCCUUACCCGAGUACGUAAUGGUCAAGACGACUAGUACCGGUUUUCUAUCCACGGUGUUCUUACCUCAUAGAAUAUCGUUGAGGUCUCCGUCUGUUCUCGAAACUACUCCUUCUGCUAGAGAGUCUGGUCCUUACGCUUCAACUGAGUCAACUAACCAUGCUGUUACUCUUCAGUGACAAGUAGCUCCGAGACUUAUUGGUACCCUUCCUAAAACGAGCUUAAAGAAGCAUACACUUCUCGUUCAGUAUACUCGUCACGUUCCAUAAAAAGUCGUUCCGAGCGUAAAGUGAACCAAACCUAAACUAGAUAGUCGUCUGAUGGCUACGACCAAACGGCUGUCCACUACGGUCACCUCCAUCCUCACUAUGACUGCUCCGUACACGACGACUUUACCUAAGAGGAUAAACAUCGUGUGUCAGAGGACACCUUUACCUCUACCUUCAAACAGGAAGACGACUAUUUUGGGAAGUCCCCGUAGAAGAUAGACCAUAGCGGAAAUUUGUCAGUCUUUGACUAUCUAGUCUACCCGGUCUAUAACACCUGGAUUGUAAACUCCUUCCACUCUAGUUCCGUCUCCUAUGAUUAUUAACAUUGUAAGGACAACUAGUAUCUGUCAGUUCACUUCGGUGAGUACUUAGCUGUGGAAGUACACGAGGAUAGCUAUAGUUAAGAAGACUCUCGUGUCCCUCAUACCUCUUGUCUCUCGUGUCAUUGGUUCACUCACGCGUACCGUUGCCUCGGUACCGGAGAAGUUGACUCGACGGACACCCUCGUGUGGACCUUUAGUCGAGGUCAGACGUGUUACAACUUCAAUAACUCGGCUCGUUCCACAGACUUUACUAAACGUGAGUCCAUAGGUCGUCCCUUGUACGAGGGCUCUCACCACGUGGGUAGUCGCGACCUUUAAAUUGGUGGGGCCAAAAGAAUGGACCUCAGUAGGUCAGCUCGUUCCACAUACUUCCCUAAACGUGGUUCCUUAGAUCACACCUUCCUGGAAGAGUUGUUCGUGGGAACUCACGUGUGUACUUCCGACCUUUAAACUGGGAGAGACAAACGAAAUGGACCCCUUGUGACAUC